RNAcentral lists this ribosomal RNA (440 nucleotides) under uncultured bacterium. RNAcentral describes it as "partial 16S ribosomal RNA". It matches the Rfam family "Bacterial small subunit ribosomal RNA", at positions 338 to 795 of the family's 1533-position model. The record is from RNAcentral.
CCUACGGGAGGCUGCAGUGGGGGAUAUUGCACAAUGGGGGGAACCCUGAUGCAGCGACGCCGCGUGGGUGAAGAAGCGCCUCGGCGCGUAAAGCCCUGUCAGCAGGGAAGAAAAUGACGGUACCUGAAGAAGAAGCCCCGGCUAACUACGUGCCAGCAGCCGCGGUAAUACGUAGGGUGCAAGCGUUAUCCGGAUUGACUGGGUGUAAAGGGGGCGCAGACGGCGAUGCAAGCAAGGAGGGAAAGCCGGGGGCCCAACCCCGGGACUGCUUUUGGAACUGGGUGGCUGGAGUGCAGGAGGGGCAGGCGGAAUUCCUGGUGUAGCGGUGAAAUGCGUAGAUAUCAGGAGGAACACCGGUGGCGAAGGCGGCCUGCUGGACUGCAACUGACGUUGAGGCCCGAAAGCGUGGGGAGCAAACAGGAUUAGAUACCCUAGUAGUC